Molecule: long non-coding RNA, 198 nt
Organism: Pistacia vera
Lineage: Eukaryota; Viridiplantae; Streptophyta; Magnoliopsida; Sapindales; Anacardiaceae
Exons: 3
Source: RefSeq, a predicted model, not a curated record
AUUUGCACACAAGAUUGGAUUCGGGCUACACGUGAACCAUUCAUGAUUGAGGAGAGCUUGGAAGAGAUAGCAGAGCUUGAGUCAGAAUUUGUGUCUUCGGCAAUGGGAAAUACUACUCGUAUUCAUCUUGAUGAUUGAAGGUUUUGCAGCAUUUAAUUGAGAUAUUGGGAGAUCUACUCGUAUUGACUUAAUGUUGGU